RNAcentral lists this ribosomal RNA (480 nucleotides) under Manica invidia. RNAcentral describes it as "eukaryotic LSU rRNA". Lineage: Eukaryota; Metazoa; Arthropoda; Insecta; Hymenoptera; Formicidae. The record is from RNAcentral.
CGAACGGAGAGAUUCAUCGUCAGCGAACGCCGGCUUCUCGUCGGUCAGCAAUGUCCCGCGCGGUGCCCUCGCGGCUCUCAGCGCGGGCACGCUGCCGUGCGCCGAUGUGUCCGAUUUCGUCGUCGUGCACUUCUUCCCUAAAAGAACGUCGCGACCCGCUGGUCUACGGCCAGGGUGCGGUGGCUGACGCGCCGCCGGUAAAACAGUGAGCGUUAAACCCUCAAUCGCCCGGCCGGCUGCCCAGUGGUACGCGCAAGGUAUUAGGCCGCACAUACGGUACGUCGAGACCGUCGCAAGCGCGCGCCACGGUACACGGAGAUACGGACCUAGCACCGUCACCUGUCUUGGCCCGCUGUUGGUCGUACGGUUAACCUUCGACAAGCCUGCGAACGUCUCAUCGGUAGAUUGUCCCGCCAGUGGUGACCGAUAUCGGUCGGUAACGCUACUGCUUUGGGUACUCUUAGGACCCGUCUUGAAACA